AUACGGAGGGUGCAAGCGUUACUCGGAAUCACUGGGCGUAAGGCGCGCGCAGGCGGCCUGAUAAGUUGGAUGUGAAAGCCUACGGCUCAACCGUAGAACUGCAUCCAAAACUGUCAGGCUAGAGUGUGGGAGAGGAAGAUGGAAUUAGUUGUGUAGGGGUAAAAUCCGUAGAGAUAACUAGGAAUACCAAAAGCGAAGGCAAUCUGCUGGAACACUACUGACGCUGAGGCGCGAAGGCGUGGGGAGCAAACAGGAUUAGAAACCCCAGUAGUCC
This 274-nucleotide ribosomal RNA is filed under the name uncultured bacterium. RNAcentral's name for it is "partial 16S ribosomal RNA". It matches the Rfam family "Bacterial small subunit ribosomal RNA", at positions 523 to 796 of the family's 1533-position model. The record is from RNAcentral.